UACGUAGGGUGCGAGCGUUAAUCGGAUUUACUGGGCGUAAAGCGUGCGCAGGCGGCCCGUUAAGACAGGUGUGAAAUCCCUGGGCUCAACCUAGGAAUUGCGCUUGUGACUGGCGGGCUCGUGUACGGUAGAGGGGGGUGGAAUUCCUGGUGUAGCAGUGAAAUGCGUAGAGAUCAGGAGGAACACCGAUGGCGAAGGCAGCCCCCUGGGCCUGUACUGACGCUCAUGCACGAAAGCGUGGGGAGCAAACAGG
This 253-nucleotide ribosomal RNA is filed under the name uncultured microorganism. RNAcentral describes it as "partial 16S ribosomal RNA". It matches the Rfam family "Bacterial small subunit ribosomal RNA", at positions 524 to 776 of the family's 1533-position model. The record is from RNAcentral.